CCUACGGGGGGCAGCAGUGGGGAAUAUUGCACAAUGGGCGCAAGCCUGAUGCAGCCAUGCCGCGUGUGUGAAGAAGGCCUUCGGGUUGUAAAGCACUUUCAGCGGGGAGGAAGGCGGUGAGGUUAAUAACCUCAUCGACUGACGUUACCCGCAGAAGAAGCACCGGCUAACUCCGUGCCAGCAGCCGCGGUAAUACGGAGGGUGCAAGCGUUAAUCGGAAUUACUGGGCGUAAAGCGCACGCAGGCGGUCUGUCAAGUUGGAUGUGAAAUCCCCGGGCUCAACCUGGGAACUGCAUUCGAAACUGGCAGGCUAGAGUCUUGUAGAGGGGGGUAGAAUUCCAGGUGUAGCGGUGAAAUGCGUAGAGAUCUGGAGGAAUACCGGUGGCGAAGGCGGCCCCCUGGACAAAGACUGACGCUCAGGUGCGAAAGCGUGGGGAGCAAACAGGAUUAGAUACCCGGGUAGUC
RNAcentral lists this ribosomal RNA (465 nucleotides) under uncultured Klebsiella sp. Its description in RNAcentral is "bacterial SSU rRNA". It matches the Rfam family "Bacterial small subunit ribosomal RNA", at positions 338 to 795 of the family's 1533-position model. The record is from RNAcentral. Lineage: Bacteria; Pseudomonadati; Pseudomonadota; Gammaproteobacteria; Enterobacterales; Enterobacteriaceae.